RNAcentral lists this ribosomal RNA (468 nucleotides) under uncultured bacterium. RNAcentral describes it as "partial 16S ribosomal RNA". It matches the Rfam family "Bacterial small subunit ribosomal RNA", at positions 28 to 507 of the family's 1533-position model. The record is from RNAcentral.
GACGAACGCUGGCGGCGUGCUUAACACAUGCAAGUCGAACGGAAAGGCCCUGCUUUUGUGGGGUGCUCGAGUGGCGAACGGGUGAGUAACACGUGAGUAACCUGCCCUUGACUUUGGGAUAACUUCAGGAAACUGGGGCUAAUACCGGAUAGGAGCCCCUGCUGCAUGGUGGGGGUUGGAAAGUUUCGGCGGUUGGGGAUGGACUCGCGGCUUAUCAGCUUGUUGGUGGGGUAGUGGCUUACCAAGGCUUUGACGGGUAGCCGGCCUGAGAGGGUGACCGGCCACAUUGGGACUGCGAUACGGCCCAGACUCCUACGGGAGGCAGCAGUGGGGAAUAUUGCACAAUGGGCGGAAGCCUGAUGCAGCAACGCCGCGUGCGGGAUGACGGCCUUCGGGUUGUAAACCGCUUUCGCCUGUGACGAAGCGUGAGUGACGGUAAUGGGUAAAGAAGCACCGGCUAACUACGUG